RNAcentral lists this ribosomal RNA (450 nucleotides) under uncultured bacterium. RNAcentral's name for it is "bacterial SSU rRNA". It matches the Rfam family "Bacterial small subunit ribosomal RNA", at positions 36 to 507 of the family's 1533-position model. The record is from RNAcentral.
AAUCAACGACUGGCGGCGCGGCUUAACACAUGCAAGUCGCACGAGAAAGUGGAGCAAUCCAUGAGACAGUGGCUACGGGUGAGUAACACGUGGAUCAUCUACCUUUAGUGGGGAAUACCCCCGGGAAACUCGGGGAUAAUACCGCAUAAUCUCGUGAGAGGAAAGCAGCAAUGCGCUGAAAGAGGAGUCCGCGGCUGAUUAGCUAGUUGGUGAGGUAAUGGCUCACCAAGGCGAAGAUCGGUAGCCGGCCUGAGAGGGCACACGGCCACACUGGCACUGAAACACGGGCCAGACUCCUACGGGAGGCAGCAGUGGGGAAUCUUGCACAAUGGAGGAAACUCUGAUGCAGCGACGCCGCGUGAGCGAUGAACGCCCGUUCGGGGUGUAAAGCUCUUUUCGACGGGAACGAUAAUGACGGUACCCGAAGAAGAAGCUGCGGCUAACUACGUG